UGCCAGCCGCCGCGGUAAUACGGGGGGUGCAAGCGUUAUUCGGAAUUAUUGGGCGUAAAGGGCGCGUAGGCGGUCCUGUUAGUCAGAUGUGAAAGCCCGGGGCUCAACCCCGGAAGUGCAUUUGAAACGGCAGGACUUGAGUAUGGGAGAGGGAAGUGGAAUUCCUGGUGUAGAGGUGAAAUUCGUAGAUAUCAGGAGGAACAUCUGUGGCGAAGGCGACUUCCUGGACCAAUACUGACGCUAAUGCGCGAAGGCGUGGGUAGCAAACAGGAUUAGAUA
This 279-nucleotide ribosomal RNA is filed under the name uncultured bacterium. RNAcentral's name for it is "partial 16S ribosomal RNA". It matches the Rfam family "Bacterial small subunit ribosomal RNA", at positions 506 to 784 of the family's 1533-position model. The record is from RNAcentral.